This 112-nucleotide ribosomal RNA is filed under the name Collibacillus ludicampi. The record is from RNAcentral. Lineage: Bacteria; Bacillati; Bacillota; Bacilli; Caryophanales; Alicyclobacillaceae.
UGGUGAUGAUAGCGGAGAGGAUACACCCGUUCCCAUCUCGAACACGGAAGUUAAGCUCUCCAGCGCCGAUGGUACUUGGGGCGGGAGCUCCCGGGAGAGUAGGUCGUCGCCA